AUCAAUGAAUAAUUGUACAAACUGAGAUGAACCCUCCAACCAAGUACCCAAAGAUAGGGGACAAAAUCAUGUGGUUUGGAGUAAAGGAUUGAAUACACUGCAUAGGGCAAAGCAGGUUUUUAUCCAAACUGAUUAGCUAGGAAGAAAGAUGAGAAAGUUAGUUGAGAAGAACUGACCAUAUUAAGGUCAGAAUCUACGUGUGCAGCAUGAAAAAAAAGAAAAAUGCCAGCAAUAAAGGCCAGGUGAUGCAGAAGGCAAUUUCAUAGGCAGAUGAAUUAUAAAUAGAAAAUUGCCACAUCCAAAGAUUAUACAGUCUUUUCUCAGGAAAGUAUCCAGGCCAGAGAAUGAAGAGCCAGUGAUUCAACAGAUAAAAAGCAGAGGCAGCUGCAAUUUUAUAAAACAUUGAUGACGACAGUAGAUGUAUGAUUUAAACUCUAAAAUUUUAUGGAAUUUCUACUAAGCAAAAAUCAACUCCUACAUAACCAAAUCAAGGCCACAAGCUCCAUGAGGGCAGGCCUAUAACUGUGUGACUCACUGCUGUAUCUAUAGCCUAGUACUUUGUAGAAACAGAACAGGUAUUUGAAUAAUAAAAUGAUGGGUCUUUCAUUCUCAUGACAUACCAACUUCUCUUCACUCUUUCCCUCUCAGUGUUGCCAUUCAUCCACUUGGCCAAGCAAGAAACAAUUAAUCAUCCUAGACUUUCUCUAUCUUACCCACUCUCCCAAAAUAAUUAUCAAUAUGCAACUCUUAUUGAUUAUACUUGGAAAAUUUAACUUAAUGAAUCUGUGAAAUCUGAUGCAUUUUUUUCUCCAUUAGCAUAAUGCCUGUUCAGGCCACCAUUCUUAUUCUUUUGCUCUCCUGCUAAGUCCUUCUCACCAUCCUUCUGUUUCUAAUUGUUCUGCUAAAAUCGAUUCUCCUAAUUACCACCAUGCUAAUCAGAGUUGUGGGUUGAAUUAUUUUUUCCCCAAAAGAUAUUUUUAAAUGCUAACCUUCAAUACCUGUGAAUUUGGAAACAGAUUAAUAUGAGGCUGUAUUAUAUUAGUGUGCCCCAAUUCAAUGACUGGUGUCCUUAUAAGUCUUAAUUUAGACACAGGGGGAAAAAAAGAACAGAGAGAAUACUAAAAGAUAAUGGAGAGAUGACAGAAGCAGAGAUAGGCUGCAUCUACAAGCCAAGGGACAUCAGGAUUGUCAGGAGCCAUGAGGAGGUAGGAAGAGGCCAGAAAGGAUUCCCCCCAAUCACAGAGACUUCAGAAAGAGCACAGCCCUGCCUGCUGAUACCCUUAUUUCAGUCUUUCAGCCUCCAGAACUGUAAGAAUACAUUUACUUGUCUUGAGUUGCCCAGUUUACAGUUAUCUGUUACUGUAGUCCAAUAUAAAUAAAUUUCAAUUAAGUCACUCUGUUGCUCAACAUCCUUUUUAAACUAUUUUCUUCCAAGGGAAUACAAAGUCUUUUCUCAAUCCUAAAGAAGACCAUGAUCUAAAUACUUCCUAACUCCCUGGAUUAAUCUCUUGACAGUUUUACUUUCCAGGUAGACCACUCUUCAGCAACACAGCACUUGUUUACUUUCCUCCAAUAUGCCUCAACUUCCAGGCCCUCAUGAGUGCUGCUCCUUCUGCCUGAGCAUGCCCUUUCUCCCCACUUCCCUCCUCGAAUUAACAUGAUUAACUCUGAUAUUUUCUUAUCUCAAAGCCUCAUUCCAUUAGGGAGAACUCUCAAGAUGUUGAAACUAAUUCAGGCUCACCUGCUGUGUAGCAGAUAGACUUUACUCCAAGUAUUUGAUUAAUUUUCUUUUCUGCUCUGUAAACUGUAGAUUCACUAAAGGGAAGAGUAACAUCUUUGCUGUUGUAUCCCCUGUAUCUGAUGUAAUGCUUUAUGUAUUACUAGGAUUACCUCACUAUUGCUAGCAGAUCACAAUUACCACAACUAUUACUACUGGUAAUAAUAAAGAGCUAACAAUGAUUGAGCAGUUAUUUGUACAAGGAAUUUUGCAAACAAUGAAAAAAUGUAUCAUAUGAUUGAAUAUUCUCAUCCAAUAGUGAUUACCUAAUAAGCAUCAUUAUUUAUAAGGUACAGUUGGGAAAAGUAAAUUUUAGAGUGGUUGAAUUACCAAUGCAAGGUCAUACUGCUCUGAAGUGAUAGAACGAGAGUUCUUCUCUGUUCUUUCUGAUUUCAAAAGGCCAUAUUCUAAAUGAUUUUGCUCAAUAAAUGUUUGUUGACAUUCCAGCAGAGAGAGUAACAUAAAUAAAGACCAGGUGUUGAAAUUAACACAACUGUGUUUGAGAGAAAAUGAGAGAGAUUUAACUUCUAGUAAAAAAUGAAAAAGGAAGUUGGUUGAACAUAAAUGCCAGAUGAAGGGCAAAUUUGAAGAAGACAAUUGAGACCCUAUGAUUAGGUAUAAAAUAGUUUUUAGGAAGAUAGUGUAAGGAAGAAACAAAGUUGUAUUAAUUUGUAAGUCAGUUAUGACACUAUCUCUCCAAAGAUGCAAAACCAUAAAAAUACCAUUGGAUUUAAAAAUGUAAAUUGAUUCAGCCUCAUCAAAUAUACAGCACUCUUUUAAUAUGCAAAUUUUAAAAAAUAGUCCCAAAUUUGGGAGGAAACCACAAGGAUGGGGUGGAGUUUUAUGAUAUGUAUGUUUUAAACUUUUGUUAUUUAGCUGCUUAAAUUUGGUGAUCACCACUGUCUAAACUUCUGAAAAUAAGUAAUGUGGGAUAUACUAAGAAUGAAGAAUUUAUUAUCUAGAUUUAAAUCCUAAAAUAAGAUUUUCAAGAAAAUGUGGAGUUUAAAAAUCACACCAGAAAAUUGAAGUAAUAACAUGUUGAGACACCUUUUUACAAAAUAUUGAUGCUACUAUGGACAAUGAAAGAUAAUUAGUAGAUGCAUCUCUCUCUGCAUACCCUUUUUAAAUAACAGAAAAUGAGUUUCAUCCUGAUAUAAAUGUUGAUAGUAUAUUUAAAGAAUAUUUGUUGGAAUAAUUGCCAAAUUCUCAUCCAACUCCAAGAGUGCACAUGACCUAGUCAAACUUUGGUGCAAGAAAGCAAUAGCUUCUGAUAAUACUUGAGGUAAGGAAAUAAAGUAACAGUGACUUCAAAUCUGAACCUGCUACAUGGUGAUUUAGAACUUAUUCUCUAUUAAAAUAAAUAAAUAAAAGGAAAAUGAGAGAAAUAAAUGACAACAGAAAAGUAUGAUGAACUCCGCUCUAUCCAUUUAGGUUCUAAAUAUUUCAGGAAUAAAUGUGCAACAACAAAUGAAGAAAUAAUAGGAUUAUAGAUAUGACUAUCAUAGCAGAGAUGGAGUAAUGAAAUGCUGGAGAAAGUCUUUAAGCCAAAGAAAAACACUGGGGUGUUUUGGUUAAGAAAUGUCCACAGGAAUUAUAGAAAUGUGUCCUGUCCUCCAAAGAAAUGGAGAGAAAACAAACACAAUGGAGGACCUUACUCUAGGUAAACCCAUAGAUUGUGUGUAAUAAUAGAAAAGGGAAGAAAAGCAAGUUUAGGAGUAUGGAGAGAAAAGAAUAGUCCCUAAGCAAGGUAAGAAGAAUUUGAAAUAGGAGAUGGUCGCCAAUAGCAAACACUAAAAAGUGGUCAAGAACAAGGAAGAUCAAGAAUUGGGUUUAGCAAAAUGUUGGUGUUCUUUGGGCAUGUAAAUCUCAUGUAAGAAAACAGUGAAUUAAGCAGAAAAUAACUAGGGAGAAACAAGAAGGAAUGGCUGUAGUAUAAAAGGAAGAGCUGAUCUGAAAUGUCUACAUAAAAACUUUAUCUCAACCUAUAAAUAAGCAGAACUGAUUUGGUUGCUAUUUCCUCAAAGAGUGUUCUUGUGUAUCUUCUAAAAGCUCUCACAGAUGACCGUAAUACAUAUACAACAGAAGUAUAUGCAACUAAUUAUGCCAGGAUUGUGAAAUAAAGUUUUAUAGGAUACUGGUACCAAAUGCUAGGAAAAUAAGUGGGAUAUUAAAACAUAAUGAUGUUGAGACAUAAAUUCAAGAAUAAAUUAAAAUAAAUACACAUGAAAUGCAAGUUUUUGUUGUUGUUGUUGUUGUUUUUGUUGUUUUUUUGUCCUUUGUCUUUUUAGGGCUGCAUCUGUGGCAUAUAGAGGUUUCCAGACUAAGAGUUGAAUCAGAGCUGUGGCUGCCGGCCUACACAACAGCCAAGGCAAUGAAGGAUCUGAGCUGAGUCUGCCACCUACACUACAGCUCACAGCAAUGCCAGAUCCUUAACCCUCUGAGUAAGAACUUUUUUAAAAAGUUACAUGAAAUUGAGUAGAGACAAGGAAAUGAGAAGUGCAGGUCUCUGAGAGCUGGAGGGAAAGUUAUAUACGUUAGACUAGAAAGGAAAGAGUAAUAGGAAUCACUUUGUAAUCAUAUUAGGAGGACAUGCUAGAAAGAGAUGACAUACUUUCAGAAAGAAUGAUCAGAGACUAUUGAUGAAAAUAUGGAAGGGUUAAAAAUAGACCGGAGGGGCCCAUAUUUAUCCUUUGGCUAAACUGAAACACAGAAAUAGUGAAAUAAUGAAACAGAAAAGUUUACUAGAGAUCAUAUAUCUUCUGUGCCUUGCUGAAAAAGGUAUCUGGAUAAUGAAGAGAUGUUAGAGUACUGGCAGUCACACCUCAAUAUGCAGAAGGACCUCCCCAAGAUUCACAUUAAAAGUGAAGAUUCUAGGUCCCAAGCACAGCUCUUCCAUGCUCCCAUGUAUAUGGAGGUAUCCAAGAAUCUUCAUUCUUAGAGACAACAUUGGUAAUUACCUCCCGGGUGACAGAGGUAGUCUCCUUCCUAUGCUUUGAAAACAUUAGCGGGUCAAAAAAAUUUAAAUAAUAACAUUUUAAAAGAUGAAAAUCAAUUCUAGUGAGAAAGACUAAAGAAGUUAACUUUAUAGCACAGAAGGCAGGAGGAUGAGUUAAUAACUAUCUCCAAGUUGAUUAAGUACUAGCUUAGCAAUUUUUCUCCAUUUCCAUUGUUGUCUACACAAGAGAAAAUCGACUUGAAUUAGGGUAAAAACUCAGUUACAAGAAAAGAUUUCUUGACUUAAAUAGUGAUUAUAGGCUAGGACUGUCAUGAAGUAUAUUUUGGAGAAUAUAUAUUCCUGUUUUGUUUUGACCUACUUAAAAAUCAUCACCAGCAUCAUCAGCAUCAUAUUCAUCAUCAUCUUAUCAGUUCUGGCUAUUUUAAGGGUGUAUCCCUUUACUGAUAUUGGAUAUAGGGUUGUUGACCAUAGGAUAUUUUAAGGUCUUCCCUGGUUCUAUGCUAGAAACAUUUAAUAAGGAUAUAUUGCUCUUUGAGGAGGCUAUGCAAGUCAUUAACUGUGACUAAUAUGCUGUCCUCAAGAUGUGCCAGAGCAACCUCAUUAAUUAUGUCAAAUUGCUGCUAAAGACAUUUUGUAUAUGAAUGUGUGAGUGCAUGAGUGUGUGUGUUUGUGUGUAUGGUCAUUUAUUAAAUUCCUUUGGAAUUACAGAAUAAAGAUAAUGAGUUAAUUGAAAGGCAUACCCUGUCCAUUUUUUAAGCUUUUUCUCUCUUUUCCCCUAACUCUUAAGGACCAGUCCUGCCACCAGGCAUGUCUUUCCUUGGCCAGCAUUUGUACAUGCUAAGUGGUACAGAGUUGCUCAAGCAAACAGAGGAUGGAAUUCCACCUGGUUCUCUUUCAUUGCUACAACGAGAGAGAAGCAGUUUGGUUUCUGCAACCCUCUCAUGCUGUGAUAAGCCAUAAAAAAGACUGGCUAAAGUGACUACAGAUGUUGUGUGAAAUAGCCAGUAUGUUUUCCACCUGUCUGUAUUUGCCUAAGGGGUCAGGGACAAUCAAAUUAAAGCAAUAUGCAAGAUGUGACAGAUGUUUGUCCUAUUGAGAUAAAUCUGAGCAAGUUGCAGAAAGGUAGAAUAAAUGUAAUACAUAAAACAAAACACAGAAACCACUUUAGAAGGUGUCCUGAGAAUAUCAACAUUUCUAAAUAAAGGCCCAUUACUUUACAUCCUUCCCUUCUAAUUAGACCCAUAAUUGGACACUUUAUAGUACCUAGUGGAAACAUAAUUAGUCAUUCUUUUUAUAGCAGCAUAAUUUGUUGGGAGUUGGAGUGUUGAAGUGGAAGAAGCAUCAUUUUGGAUAUUUUUUAUCUCUUUUUCAGGCAACAGGUAAUAACAUGGUGCUUUGCCCAUUUUGUUGGAAGAACUUGGGUGACUGUUUCUCCAUCAAACUAAUGUCCUCUGAUUAUCUCAUGUUCCUCCCAAAAUAUAGGAUGAUGGUCUGUAUCUAAGAGGCUAAUGCCUAGUAAUGAAAUAGCCUUUCAAUAACUUAUUGACCAGAACAUUGCUAACAUGUCAAGAUCAAGGAAAAGGGAGUUAGAUGUGACAUUAUGAUUACAUAUGUCUUGAAACAAAACACUAAUAUGGGGCAUUUUUCUUUUGUGUCACACUGGCUAGAUGUCUCUAGUCAAAAAGACAAUAUAUGUUCCUUGGCAAAGUUUUUUUUUGGUCUUUAUCUUUCUUUUCCUACACUAAAACACUUUAUGCUCUGAAAUUUCAGCCACUGCUCCUAAAAAUUAUUAGCCUUAAAAAAUAUGAGCUGGCUAGGGAAAGCAUAAAACUAAUCAACCAAUGGACAUUAACUCUUUUGAAGGUUGUAAAACCUUACAAGACAUGAGGAAAUGGCAUUCAUUGCAUUUUGUGAAAAGAAUAAUCAGUUCCAAUUCAAGUCAUUUGUAAAUACUUCCAGGGAACAUAAUAGAGGGUUGUGUGUUUUAAGCUUUAAGACAAAAGAUUAUUAUGAUUACUGGUAUAUAUCAUUCCUUAAUUUCAUUGUUAUAAUAAAGCACAUGGUUCUGAUUACAGGUAAUCCACUUCUGGUCUCAGUUGCUGCCAACCAUAAGCUGAUUUAGAUGACAACCUAUAUGACUGUAGUGAAGGCCAAUGGAAAUUACAUAAACUAUUUUUUUCUUUCUCUACUAGGAUUUCCAAGCUCUCAAUGAAGCACAGAAGCCUAAUUGAGAUUUGGAUGGUUGCUGCUUGUUGCAGCACCCUCCUUACCAACAGAGAAGGAAUAUUUACCGUGGAGCUUGGACUUUUGUUGGGAGUUAUCCAGUGCUGUGUAGUUAAGCACUGUUAGUAUCGAAGAGGUAUUUCUAAAGAGAACAUCAACAUUUUUUAAAUUGACCUAAUGUAUUGGUGAUUUAUCAAUGUAAUUUGUUGAGUGCUUAUUUGUCAGGCACUGUACUACAAUCAAGCAUUCUCCUUCCCAAACUCUCUCUGUGGCAGAGACUACAGUACUGGAAUUACCCUAUCAGUAGUGAUUUGAAAUUCACAGCAUUCCAUUCUUUCAUUCAAUCUUUUCAGGAACAAGAUGUGUAAUUUAUCAAUGCCUUCACCAGAGAAGGGAAUGUGCCCAGAGCAUUCCAAGCUUCUCCUAGCAUUAUUAUAAAAUGUUAUGAGCAUUUAAGGAAGCCAGGAGAG
This 7426-nucleotide long non-coding RNA is filed under the name Sus scrofa (pig). Its description in RNAcentral is "lncRNA (ENSSSCG00000060267.1)". Lineage: Eukaryota; Metazoa; Chordata; Mammalia; Artiodactyla; Suidae. The record is from RNAcentral.